UACGGAGGGUGCGAGCGUUGUCCGGAAUCAUUGGGCGUAAAGGGCGCGUAGGUGGCCCGGUCAGUCAGUGGUGAAAGCGCGGGGCUCAACCCCGCGUCGGCCAUUGAUACUGCGGGGCUCGAGCAAUGUAGAGGCAGGCGGAAUUCCGGGUGUAGCGGUGGAAUGCGUAGAGAUCCGGAAGAACACCGGUGGCGAAGGCGGCCUGCUGGGCAGUUGCUGACACUGAGGCGCGACAGCGUGGGGAGCAAACAGG
RNAcentral lists this ribosomal RNA (253 nucleotides) under uncultured bacterium. RNAcentral describes it as "partial 16S ribosomal RNA". It matches the Rfam family "Bacterial small subunit ribosomal RNA", at positions 524 to 776 of the family's 1533-position model. The record is from RNAcentral.